Molecule: ribosomal RNA, 436 nt
Filed under: uncultured bacterium
Lineage: Bacteria
Description: partial 16S ribosomal RNA
Rfam family: Bacterial small subunit ribosomal RNA
Source: RNAcentral
AGCGAACGCUGGCGGCAGGCUUAACACAUGCAAGUCGAGCGGGCAUCCUUGUGGUGUCAGCGGCAGACGGGUGAGUAACGCGUGGGAACGUGCCCUUCGGUUCGGAAUAACUCAGGGAAACUUGAGCUAAUACCGGAUACGUGCGAGAGCAGAAAGGUUUAUCUGCCGAAGGAUCGGCCCGCGUCUGAUUAGCUAGUUGGUGAGGUUAUGGCUCACCAAGGCGACGAUCAGUAGCUGGUCUGAGAGGAUGAUCAGCCACACUGGGACUGAGACACGGCCCGAACCCCGCCGGGAGGGAGCAGGGGGGAAUGUGGGACACAGGGGGAAACCCGGAGCCCCCCGGGCCGGGGGAGGGAGUUCGGCUUUAGGGUUGUAAGGCUUUUUUUCUCGGGACGUUAUGACGGGACCCGGAGAAAAAACCCCGGCUAAAUUUGGG